UGAGGAAUAUUGGUCAAUGGAGGCAACUCUGAACCAGCCAAGUAGCGUGCAGGAUGACGGCCCUAUGGGUUGUAAACUGCUUUUAUGCGGGGAUAAACUGAGUCACGUGUGGCUUAUUGCAGGUACCGCAUGAAUAAGGACCGGCUAAUUCCGUGCCAGCAGCCGCGGUAAUACGGAAGGUCCGGGCGUUAUCCGGAUUUAUUGGGUUUAAAGGGAGCGCAGGCCGCCCCUUAAGCGUGUUGUGAAAUGCCGCGGCUCAACCGUGGCACUGCAGCGCGAACUGGGGGGCUUGAGUGCGCCGGA
Molecule: ribosomal RNA, 303 nt
Filed under: uncultured bacterium
Lineage: Bacteria
Description: bacterial SSU rRNA
Rfam family: Bacterial small subunit ribosomal RNA
Source: RNAcentral